RNAcentral lists this non-coding RNA (187 nucleotides) under Ovis aries (sheep). RNAcentral describes it as "Eukaryotic large subunit ribosomal RNA". It matches the Rfam family "Eukaryotic large subunit ribosomal RNA", at positions 2621 to 2802 of the family's 3401-position model. The record is from Rfam by way of RNAcentral. Lineage: Eukaryota; Metazoa; Chordata; Mammalia; Artiodactyla; Bovidae.
UUGACUGGGCGGUACACUGUCAAACGGUAACGCCAGGUGUCCUAAGAGAGUCUCAGGGAGGCCAGAAAGUCCGCUGGAGCAGGAGGGGCAACAAAGCUCGCUUGAUCUUGAUUUCAGUACGAAUGACAGACGUGAAAGCGGGGGGCUCCACGAUCCUUUUUCUGACCUUUUUGUUUUAAAGCAGGAG